RNAcentral lists this ribosomal RNA (480 nucleotides) under uncultured bacterium. RNAcentral's name for it is "partial 16S ribosomal RNA". It matches the Rfam family "Bacterial small subunit ribosomal RNA", at positions 28 to 523 of the family's 1533-position model. The record is from RNAcentral.
GACGAACGCUGGCGGCGUGCCUAACACAUGCAAGUCGAGCGAGUGGAUCGCCUUCGGGAGUGAAGCUAGCGGCGGACGGGUGAGUAACACGUUGGCAACCUGCCUCAUAGAGGGGAAUAGCCUUUCGAAAGGAAGAUUAAUACCGCAUAAGAUCGUAGCUUCGCAUGAAGUAGCAAUUAAAGGAGCAAUCCGCUAUGAGAUGGGCCCGCGGCGCAUUAGCUAGUUGGUGAGGUAACGGCUCACCAAGGCGACGAUGCGUAGCCGACCUGAGAGGGUGAUCGGCCACAUUGAGACUGAGACACGGCCCAGACUCCUACGGGAGGCAGCAGUGGGGAAUAUUGCACAAUGGGGGAAACCCUGAUGCAGCAACGCCGCGUGAGUGAUGACGGCCUUCGGGUUGUAAAGCUCUGUCUUCAGGGACGAUAAUGACGGUACCUGAGGAGGAAGCCACGGCUAACUACGUGCCAGCCGCCGCGGUAA